CGGCAUCGCAGAGGACUGAGAGCUCGUAAGCUUUCUUCAGCAGCCCGGUCCGGCGCUUCGAGAAGGUGACUUGCCGGCUUGUCGCGUUCUCGAUUCGCCUCAGCUGAACUUUGCCUCUCGCCAUGAUAAAAUCCUCCCUACACAAAUGAUGGGACCUUGUGCAGCUUCAACCAGCUGAAGCCUUCAAUCUUCCUAUCCUUCCUCCUACUGUCUAGACUUCGGACUGAAGUACUUGAGAGGGCUAAAAACACUGCAAGACUAAUCACACACUUUUUUUUUUCUUUUUCCUUCAAACAGACAUGGACUAUAUCAUCAUUCGAACACAAGUCAAAAACCACAGAACGAAAAUGGUCGGAGAAAUAUAGAUUUGCCCAGGGUGUUCUC
Molecule: long non-coding RNA, 384 nt
Organism: Rhodamnia argentea
Lineage: Eukaryota; Viridiplantae; Streptophyta; Magnoliopsida; Myrtales; Myrtaceae
Exons: 2
Source: RefSeq, a predicted model, not a curated record